This 200-nucleotide ribosomal RNA is filed under the name Armillaria mellea. RNAcentral's name for it is "partial 26S ribosomal RNA". It matches the Rfam family "Eukaryotic large subunit ribosomal RNA", at positions 3204 to 3401 of the family's 3401-position model. Lineage: Eukaryota; Fungi; Basidiomycota; Agaricomycetes; Agaricales; Physalacriaceae. The record is from RNAcentral.
UUUGCUCGUGAACCAAAUAUGGUCGGCUGGGUUGUCUUUGCGGAAACGCUUAGGUGACUUGUCUACGAAUUGUAAUCAUAAUAUGCGCGACGGUGAAUCCUUUGCAGACGACUUGAAUGGGAACGGGGUACUGUAAGUGGUAGAGUAGCCUUGUUGCUACGAUCCACUGAGGUUAAGCCCUUGUUCUAAAGAUUUGUUCA